Canis lupus familiaris (dog) is the source of this 1796-nucleotide long non-coding RNA. RefSeq lists it as uncharacterized. The record is from RefSeq and is a predicted model, not a curated record. The transcript has 2 exons. NCBI's taxonomy places the organism in Eukaryota, Metazoa, Chordata, Mammalia, Carnivora, Canidae.
GACACAGGCAGAGGGAGAAGCAGGCUCCAUGCAGGGAGCCCGAUGUGGGACUCGAUCCCAGGUCCCCGGGAUCAUGCCCUGGACUAAAGAUGGCGCUAAACCCGCUGAGCCACCAGGGCUUCCCCACAGAUCUUCUUAAUUAUUGUUUCUGGUUACUUUGUUUUAUACUCCAUGGUAAUUACUAAUGUUUGUGUAGCUUGAUUUAUGGCUUUUGGGGGGAAAUUUUCAUCUUUGCUAACUAUAUGUCUGCAAAACCCCAAAAUUUCUCUUGCUAGGAUUGUGGAUGAAAGAGUAUCUCUUUGAUGUUAAAACUUUACCUAAAAUGAAGGGUUUCUUACUAAAUAUCAGGUACUGAAAUAACUGACUUUAUUUUUUGGUUGCUCAGAUUCAUCUUUGUUGCAUGAUCAUGUUCAGGCAGUGAGGUAGAAUAUGAAAGAGAUGAAUAUACCAUCUUUAUCUAUAUGCUGUCUCUCAACUUUGAGUAGGACUGUUUAGAUGCAAUCAUUAUAAAUUACUAGGGAUAAGAAUGUGCUUAAUGUUAAAGCAUUGUGUCUAAGAUCCCCCAAACUGCCAGCCUUAUUGAUGUCUAUUAAUAUUAUCAAAAGUGUUUUCUUAUAAUCUCUGAAUAUUUUUAGCAGUUUUAAGCAAUUAUGCCAUGGUUAUUUUUAGACAGUUUUAAACAGGUAUACCAUAGUUGUUUUCCCUUUCUUCUGACUUCUUGCUUUUCAUCUUGCUGAAAAUCAGAAACACUGAUAGCAUACCCAGGGCUGGUGUCAAAUGCAGCACAGAAAAUUCUGGGUAAGGAAUCCAACAUCCUUGUGAUGGGCAUUGUCAAAUGCAGCACAGAAAAUUCUGGGUAAGGAAGAUUUUGUAGUGUGUAUCUCCUAGAUAUUGCUUAUUGUGAAACUGAAGAGGAAACCCAAGUGCAGAAUAUCUCCUUAUUUUCUUAAAGAGUGCUUUCUCCUCCAAUCAUAUAAAACAUUCUAGAUAAAAAAGAUUUUAAAAUAAAGUUAUGAAAGGAAAACACCCCAUUUAUACCUAUAUACAAUGGCUAUACCAUAUGUAUUUGACAGACUUACCAUAUAUACUUGAUAGCCACUUGCAGGUAUUUCCACUUGAAUAUCAGAAUGGGCAGCAUGAGCUUCUGGGGCCAAAGAGCAGCUCUGAAAUUUUACUUUCAUGGAGGUUCUAAUCAGCUGUGUGCAAUAAGCCAUUUCACAAGGAUGUUGGAUUACCUUUUGAUGCAGGUGGAAGGAAGCUUUGACUCUGUUGUUCUUAACCUUUGUUCUUAACCUCCAACAACAAAAUGUGGACUGAGUUUUUUGAAAGCUGAAGAGAAUAUAGUCAUGUUCACAGUGAUUAACCCAUUGCACAGUGUUCCUAGGCAACUUGUAAGGGAAGUGGAAAUCAUGCAGAAGCUGUCCUGGAAAGGCAAAGAGCCCAAGAUGAUAGGCCUCUAGACCAAGGAUACUGGAGUCUGAGAAUUCCCACUCAGUCCUAGGAGGAGGAUGAUGAGGUGAGUUUCUAUUAUCUUCAAGCCCAACCCGCCAAAAGUAUUGAGAGUACCCACCUAUCCUAGAAGGCGCAGUGAAAGCCACAGCUACCAGCCAAGAUCAUUCCCAAAACCUCUGCACACAUUUAAGCAGGAGAAGAUGCCAUCGUGUUCCUGAAGGAAACUGAGCAAGAGCCUGAUGUCAGGCCACACUGAAGUAAAAUGACUUGAAGUCUAUCCUAAUAUAAAUAGGUGCAGUCAGCCUCAUUAAAAAGUUCUUACUAGGAUAAAGGAGUGAGAGGUG